Molecule: long non-coding RNA, 4172 nt
Organism: Heterocephalus glaber (naked mole-rat)
Lineage: Eukaryota; Metazoa; Chordata; Mammalia; Rodentia; Bathyergidae
Source: Ensembl
CGGGACGUGGAUCGAACUGGGCGAGACUCAGCCAGGAACCCGGGCCAGAAAGGUGACCAUGCAGUGCCCUCUGUGACAGCGGUCAGAAGAGGAGGAGCGAGUGGGCGGAGCCGAAGCCGUGGGCGGAGCCGAAGCCGUGGGCGGAGCCGGUCUGACUAAACUUGAGCUGCGGGCAUGGGCGAGCUGGCAGGAGGAAACCGAUCUUCAGCCUGGUUAGGUCGCCAAAGUUACCUUAUCUACAUUCACAUGCCGGGCUCGUUUUACCUGGGAACUGGAAGAAUCCUAAGUGACAGGUAGUCGUGGCCCAUUGCAGAGCAACAUGAUUCACCUCACCGUUGGCAUCUGGAAAUGAGGAAGAUAGCUCACAUGACACCUGCUGGUGGGAAGCCACUCCAACUUCAUCACUCCCUGAAAGAGGGCUUCUUCAUGGAUGGGGCACAGGGAGGAAGGAGGCAGAUAUGAGAACUUGAUCAGGCCUGUGUGACUUUGAACAUUGAGGAAACCAAUGCUUAGGACUCCCAGGAUGUCUGGCCCAGCUAUGGAUUGGAGUUCAGCUUCCAUCAAAUGUGUUACUUCUCUGCUGGGCAGUCUCUUGAGCAGCUUCGUCCACUCUUUGAGCUGAGGUAGCUGUAGGGACCCAGACGCGCUUCCCUGAGAAUCCAGGAAGUGCCCCAAAUGCCCCUGUCUUUUCCCCCUUGACAGGCUAUAAUUGUGGAAGCCAUGUCUGGUGAGCUAAAGGGUACUUGGAGGAAUGGAAGCCCUUUCCAGUGCAGAGACAGCUAGCAGUGCUGUGAUAAUUAAUCAUGUCAACUUGAAUAAGAAAUGCCUAGCAUAUUCAAUUACACAUUGUAUCUGGAUGACUGUUUUAAGUGAAGAGGGGAAGAACCACCUUGAAUGUGGCAUAAAAAGGGAAAGAAGAAGGAAGUUCCUCUUUAUUCUUCAGAGGAAUUCCGGUCUUCGCCUUCACCUUUGGACCUCCAUCUCCAGGCUUCCAGGGCAGACUCUUCCAUCUUUCAGCACAGAACCGAGAGCUUCCUGAUAUGGACCAAAGGGACUGCGCAGCAUUCUCCAGGCCUUCCACCUCUGACUGGAUCCUCCUCUCCAGGGUGCAGAUGGCCUUUUGUACUCUCCACCCUGAUGCUGCAUGUAGCCCUUAUGUUAAAUAUGUUGUGAUACAUGUCACCAGCUUCACUUUCUCUGAUAUUUCUUAGCAGUGCACCAUUCUACCCAAGCAAAAGGUCUAUUUCACCCCCUCCCAUUCUUUCUUUUCUUUCAUUUGCACCUUCUUUCCAAUCCUCCAGUUACUUGUCUUGUUGCUGCCACAAAAUACCUGAAAUCCACAAGUUAAAGGAGGGAAGGUUUAUUUCAGCUCAUAGUUUAUAGAAGUUUCAGUCCAUUGGCUGUUGGCUCCAAGGCACUGCAGCUUAGCAGACAGGCAUGGCAGAGGGAAAACAGUCCAUAGUUUGGCAGGCAACAAGCAGCAACAGCCUACUUUUCCCUUUUUAUUCCAGCCAGGCUACAGGCCUUUUGUGUGGCAUCGUUCAUGCACAGGUUGGGUCUUCUAUCUUCAUAAAUCCAUUCAGCCAUACCCAGCAUUAUGCUAUUUCCAAUCAAAUGACUGAUUUAAUAGCAAACACACUUAAUUCCAGUUCUCUAGAUCUAAGCAUCUCUGAAAAGCCCCAAGUAUGAGCACAUGAGGCCUUGGGGGGUCAUCUAGAUACAGGACAUAACUAACACUCAGUUCGUCCUAAAUGUUAGCUGUCCUGACACUACUUUCUGAGAUGACUCUUUUGUCGCUACAUUCUCUUUGGAACUUUCAUAUGGUAGACAGACACAUCCACACACUUGUGCACUUACUUGCACUUACAUGCACCAUCAUUCAUUCAUUCAACUGUGGAGACUUCACAGGUAAAUAAUUUGGGUCCCCACAACCUAAGUAAGAAGGGAUAAGGUACAAGGCCACAUAGAGGGUUGGGUCACCAGGAAGGGUCCUUCAAAGGGAGGAUGCUCCAGCUGCUUCUUGGUGGAUAUGGUGCUAAACACUAGUGCAUCUCAUUGGAGCUGCUGUUUCUGAUCCUUUAGCAGGUAUGGGCUGAACCUGCCAUGUUAUUGGUUUGUUUAAUCCUCCACAAACUGACCAACAGAUAUUUUUUAUUCCCAUUUGCAAGAAGGAAACUGAGGCUUUGAGAAUUCAGUUAACUUACCCAUGGUCUAGCCACUCUGGGCAGUGGGGCAGGCUGUGAACCCAGAUGCAUUAGUCUAUAGGGCCUGCUUUGAACCCACCUGUCUGCAUUCAUAGUCUCUCAGGAGGCAAAAGGGACAGGAAGUGCAUCUCCAGGCUGAGGGGAGAGCAGGAGGAAGGGCAUGAAGCCUGCAUGGAGCAGAGGGGAGUGUUGGUGGGUGGUCAGCCGUUUGGACUUGCUCAGUGGGAAAAGAGUCCUGUGGAUGGAGCAAAGGCCCCUGAGAAAGAAUGACAGCUGGGGAGUUGCACAUGCUGGCCCCUAGAUUUCAUAGUGGAGGCUGUUCCCUUACGAGGCUGAGCCCAUCCACGUGCUCCCUGCACCUCUGAAUCUUCCGGUUGUGCCUUGAGUCUCUCUCUGGAGGUGGGUAUCACGGGGCAUUCUGAGCUCACAUGGACGGUGAACUGCCUGGGCCCGGAGCAGUAGUCUGAAGGAGAUAAGAGGGACAGGAAGACACUGUUAAGGUCUCUGUUGCUUUUGCUGUCUUCUGCCAUCAUGGACUGUCGCCCCUCUGCCAUGUGCCACCAUCCCUGGGAGCCAGCUGAUCAUGGACUAAAACUUCUACAAACUGUGAGGUAGAUAAACUCCUGCUCUCUUAAUUGGGGGGUGUCCGCUAUUUUGUUUCAGCAACUAAAAAAUAACUAAGACGCCAUGACAGAACUGGAACAUCUGUGUCAGAAGUACAAGUCUUAAAGUGAUAACCCUGGUCCACUGGCAUCGAGUGACUGAUGUGGAGCUCCUCCAUUCAGUGUGGUUAACGGCUCUCCCUGAAAAGACAAACACACGGGGCUGGCGGUGUUGCAGCACCUCUGACUGAGGUGUGGAUGCACGUGGACUACAGGGCGAGUGCGGUCUGACUCAAUUUGAGCCUGGGUACAUGAGGCCGCGCUACCUAUCUUGACCUUUUGAGAGAGGGCAUGUAGCUCAGAUGUUCUUGUUUAAACCUGGACCCUUUGAAACCAUUUCACAAAGAACCUUACCUGGAAUUCUCCACCUCAGUCCUUUUGUAUCACCCCAGAUGGCAUUCACGCGAAUAGAUUGUAGAUACAAGCUUGAGACCAUAUCUGAGAGGAGAUGACCUCUGAACCCUUGCUCUCAGUAGCUGUUUAUGAAAUUGUGGUCCAUGGAGGUUGAGAAGCCAAUCAUCAAACAUGUUUUCUAACCUAUGUUUUCCACUAGGACAUAAGACCUCAGAUGCACAGCCACAGGGCAUACAAUACUGAGUCUAUCUCCAGAAGGGUGUGGGCGGGGAGAUCGAAAUGUUUAUCCAAGUUCACAACCCUAAGCUAUGCAAACACACCUAAUCCAUGGAUCCGUCUGCCUAAGACUGUAGGAUCUAACUCUACACAAAUUCAGCCUAUGGAACACAUCCGGGACGUCCCCCUUGAUUGUUAGCUUUCUUCCUGCGCAACAUUUUCUCCCCAUGUUUCUUUAGAUGGAUGUCACUUUGAAUCAUGUCACCUGCCUUCGUAAAAUGGAACAAAGUGUGCAUAGGAAAGGAGAUGUGAUUGGUGGGGGUUUCCCCCUUAUACGCAUUUUCAUAUCAGGAGUAACAGUGAAAAGCCAUAUAAGAAAUUAUUCGUUCUUGCCCAGUAAGUCCCUUUUUCCUUUGUUUAUUCCUGCUUAUUUAUUGGGAUAAAUAAAGCAUAGAGCCUCUGUGGUUAAAUAGGGUGGUGCUGGCUGUAUCACUAAAUUGUUGUUCCUGUCCACAGGUAAAAAGAUCGGUCCCAGUUUCUUUGGACUGUUCUUGUUUCCUUUCUCUCUUUUUCGGGUGUGUGAAGACAGUAUUUUCUGUUUCAUUUUUAUAUAUUCCACAUUUUAAUCCUAGCAUCAGUUUGACACCAUUGUUGACCUUAUUUCAUUUUCCCUGACCCUUGUCCUUCCAGUCCUUCCACUCCCCGAGCUAAUAUGACAUCCUGUUAAACCCAAGCC